This 619-nucleotide long non-coding RNA is filed under the name Ananas comosus (pineapple). RNAcentral describes it as "long non-coding RNA (ACOM_LNC035185)". The record is from RNAcentral. Lineage: Eukaryota; Viridiplantae; Streptophyta; Magnoliopsida; Poales; Bromeliaceae.
AGGGGCAAAGCUUACCUCUAAGCUUGCUCUUUUCUUGCACUAGAGAGGAAGAAGAUGAAGUUGCUCUACUCCUUCUUCUUCUUCUCCACUUUCUUCUCCUUCUUUUCCUUCUUUUCCUUUGUCUUCUUCUCCUCCUUCUUUGUCUUCUAGAGAGAGGAAGAGAGGAGAGAGUGUGAGAGGGAGUGAAAUGAGAGGAAGGCCCUCAUAUCCCUCCUACAUAACUAUUGGAUUGCAAAAAUGCUAAUAAACCCCUCAACUUUCACUUUAAUACACUGCCUGGACUGGGCAGUUCGCGCAGGCGGGGACCGGUCUCUCCUUCAGGGACCGGUUCCCGAAGGUCGUCCCAGCGCAGCCAGAGCUGCCGCGCGCAGUGCAACCGGUCUCUCUCUGGGGGACCGGUCUCUCGGGGACCGGUCUCUCAGACAGGGACCGGUUCCCGAGAGCUGGUUUCUCAGGACUUAGCCGAUUUUUCGGCUGUCUCAUUCCUCACGCGUUCGGGGACCGGUCUCUCCCUCCAGGGACCGGUCCCCGAGAGCUCAAAAUCUGCAGUUUUGCAGAAUUUGAUCCUUUAGCUCUCGAAAACCUCCCGUAACUCACUUUUGAUCAUGUUAACACCUUC